GGGUUCGUAGCUCAGUUGGUAGAGCAGCGGCCUUUUAAGCCGUUUGUCGUGGGUUCGAUCCCCACCGAACCCACCA
Molecule: transfer RNA, 76 nt
Filed under: Candidatus Doudnaibacteriota bacterium
Lineage: Bacteria; Candidatus Doudnaibacteriota
Description: Candidatus Doudnabacteria bacterium tRNA-Lys
Rfam family: tRNA
About the family: Transfer RNA (tRNA) molecules are approximately 80 nucleotides in length. Their secondary structure includes four short double-helical elements and three loops (D, anti-codon, and T loops). Further hydrogen bonds mediate the characteristic L-shaped molecular structure. tRNAs have two regions of fundamental functional importance: the anti-codon, which is responsible for specific mRNA codon recognition, and the 3' end, to which the tRNAs corresponding amino acid is attached (by aminoacyl-tRNA synthetases). tRNAs cope with the degeneracy of the genetic code in two manners: having more than one tRNA (with a specific anti-codon) for a particular amino acid; and 'wobble' base-pairing, i.e. permitting non-standard base-pairing at the 3rd anti-codon position.
Source: RNAcentral